This 405-nucleotide ribosomal RNA is filed under the name uncultured bacterium. Its description in RNAcentral is "bacterial SSU rRNA". It matches the Rfam family "Bacterial small subunit ribosomal RNA", at positions 370 to 772 of the family's 1533-position model. The record is from RNAcentral.
AAUGGGCGGAAGCCUGAACCAGCCAUGCCGCGUGCAGGAAGAAUGCCCUACGGGCUGUAAACUGCUUUUCCCCGGGAAGAAUAAGGCCCCUGCGGGGGUCGAUGCCGGUACCGGGGGAAAAAGGAUCGGCUAACUCCGUGCCAGCAGCCGCGGUAAUACGGAGGAUCCGGGCGUUAUCCGGAAUUACUGGGUUUAAAGGGUGCGUAGGCGGGGCNUUAAGCCGGCGGUGAAAUGCAGCGGCUCAACCGCUGGAGUGCCGUGGGGACUGGGGCUCUUGGAUACGGACGUGGCGGGUGGAACUCGUGGUGUAGCGGUGAAAUGCAUAGAUAUCACGAGGAACGCCGGUAGCGAAGGCAGCUCGCCGGGCCGGUAUUGACGCUGAGGCACGAAAGCGUGGGGAUCGAA